Long non-coding RNA from Zophobas morio, 663 nucleotides. RefSeq lists it as uncharacterized. The transcript is spliced from 7 exons. The record is from RefSeq and is a predicted model, not a curated record. Lineage: Eukaryota; Metazoa; Arthropoda; Insecta; Coleoptera; Tenebrionidae.
AGGGCUCGGCAUCUUCUAGAAGAUCUUCGAAAUUUAAUGCCUCAUAGUAAAAAGGAAAAUAAGCUGGACAGAAAGGAAAGUCUUCUUACUAUAAACGAAAUAUGUGAAUUAAAAAACUGUAAUAAUUGCGUUUACCUUGAAUUACGCAAAAAGCAAGAUUUAUACAUGUGGAUCUCUAAACCUCCUCAAGGCCCUUCAACAAAGUUUUUAGUAGAAAAUGUUCAUACUUCUGCUGAAUUAAAUUUAAUCGGGAAUUGCCUGAGGGGCUCCCGCCCCAUUUUGUCUUUUGAUAAAAAUUUCGAUUCGCAGCCUCACUUGUCUUUAUUAAAAGAAGUUUUUAUUCAAAGUUUUGGGACUACUUGCAAUCAUCCUUUAAGUAAACCUUUUUUCGACCACGUGUUUACUUUUUCUAUAGUGGAAAAUCGAAUUUGGUUUCGAAAUUAUCAGAUCUGCGAAACAACGUCCGGAAAAGCACAUGAAACGAGUCUUAUCGAGAUCGGCCCUCGAUUUGUACUAAAUCCUAUUCGAAUCUUUUCGGGAAGUUUUUGUGGAUCCACACUUUUUCAGAAUCCGCUUUACACAUCUCCAAAUUUUUUGCGAGCACAACGAAGAAAAAGAGAAGCUGGAAAAUAUGCUUCAAGGGUGACUUCUAAGAAAAGUUUU